Molecule: non-coding RNA, 1002 nt
Organism: Rattus norvegicus (Norway rat)
Lineage: Eukaryota; Metazoa; Chordata; Mammalia; Rodentia; Muridae
Source: RefSeq, a predicted model, not a curated record
CCUGAGAGGAAGAGGAGGCAGAGAGUAGCUAGCUGACUGUCUCAAGGGCCUGGAUACCAGCAAGGGGUCUGUCAGUCUUUGGACGUGUAUUCCCAGCAGACUGACAGACAGCCUUCCAGGGAGAGGGUGGCAUUGGAGCCCAGGCAGCAAGAGGCUGUUUCUGGGAACAAUCCUUAUUGUUAAUCCCUCAAGUCUCAAUUCAGGAACAAAUGGGCUUUCAGAAGUGAUGGAAGUUACUUUCUAGAUAAGUUAGCAAAACUGCAACAACUAAGAAAGAUUGUAUCUUUUUAAUUCCCUCCUCUUCCUCAAAUACUACUGCCUUGCUUCUUGUCUCCAUUUGUUUUUUCUUUCUUCAGAAUUUCUCUGUUGGGGUGAUGGCUGGACAUGACUCUGUCCAGCAGGAAGACAUUGGCCUUCGCUCCUAUUGUCUCAUAAUCUGGAACAGAGUAGCACUCCCAAGGUUUAGAAGAGCUGGGUUCCUUCCUGCUGCCCCUUCUUUCACCUGGGUCACUGACUCCAGGCUUUGCCUCCACGGGCAGGAGAGAUGGCUUAGAGGUUAAGAGCACUGAGUGCCCUUUCAGAGGUCCUGAGUUCAAUUCCCAGCAACCUCAUGGUGGCUCACAACCAUCUGUAGUGAGAUCUGAUGCCCUCUUCUGGUGUGUCUGAAGACAGCUGCAGUGUACUUAUAUAUAAUAAAUAAAUCUUUAAAAAAAAUUUUCCCUUGUUUGAUUUGGCUUUCUUGGGGGCAAGGACUGAACUCAGGGAUGCUCAUAUGAUAGAUUACCACUGAGUCACAGUCCAGCCCUCACACCUGAGUUUUACAUCUGCCUUUGGGUUAUGGCAAUAAUCCUCGAGCCUUGGGGUUUGGGGAUUUAGCUCAGUGGAAGAGUGCUUGCCUAGCAAGCGCAAGGCCCUGGGUUUGGUCCUCAACUCCAAAAAAAUAAAAAUAAAAAAAAAAUAAAAAAAUAAAAAUAAAAUAGUUGGGCCUCAAGGAGAUGACCC